RNAcentral lists this unclassified non-coding RNA (262 nucleotides) under plant metagenome. RNAcentral describes it as "partial contains small subunit ribosomal RNA, internal transcribed spacer 1, and 5.8S ribosomal RNA". The record is from RNAcentral.
UCUCCGUUGGUGAACCAGCGGAGGGAUCAUUACCGAGUUUACAACUCCCAAACCCCUAUGUGAACGUUACCAAACUGUUGCCUCGGCGGGAAAUUCAUGCCCCGGGCGCGUCGCAGCCCCGGACCAAGGCGCCCGCCGGAGGACCAACCAAAACUCUUUUGUAUGUCCCUCGCGGACUUUUAUAAUUCUGAACCAUCUCGGCGCCCCUAGCGGGCGUUUCGAAAAUGAAUCAAAACUUUCAACAACGGAUCUCUUGGUUCUA